GGUUAAGCGACUAAGCGUACACGGUGGAUGCCUAGGCAGUCAGAGGCGAUGAAGGGCGUGCUAAUCUGCGAAAAGCGUCGGUAAGGUGAUAUGAACCGUUACAGCCGACGAUACCCGAAUGGGGAAACCCAGUGUGUUUCGACACAUUAUCAUCACAUGAAUACAUAGUGUGAUGAGGCGAACCGGGGGAACUGAAACAUCUCAGUACCCCGAGGAAAAGAAAUCAACCGAGAUUCCCCCAGUAGCGGCGAGCGAACGGGGAGGAGCCCAGAGUCUGCAUCAGCUUGUGUGUCAGUGGAAGCGUCUGGAAAGUCGCACAACAAAGGGUGAAAGUCCCGUACACGAAGAUGCACAAGUUGUGAGCUCGAUGAGUAGGGCGGGACACGAGAUAUCCUGUCUGAAGAUGGGGGGACCAUCCUCCAAGGCUAAAUACUCCUGACUGACCGAUAGUGAACCAGUACCGUGAGGGAAAGGCGAAAAGAACCCCGGCGAGGGGAGUGAAAUAGAACCUGAAACCGUGUACGUACAAGCAGUGGGAGCCCCACCACCAAAACACUUCCGGGCCGAAAGGCGAUGCGGAUGUCGAGGUGACGGUUGUCAUCGCGUUUUUUGCGAUGAGCAACACACAAAACAAGCAGUGAGUGUUUUGGGGUGGGGUGACUGCGUACCUUUUGUAUAAUGGGUCAGCGACUUAUAUUCUGUAGCAAGGUUAACCGAAUAGGGGAGCCGCAGGGAAACCGAGUCUUAACUGGGCGUUAAGUUGCAGGGUAUAGACCCGAAACCCGGUGAUCUAGCCAUGGGCAGGUUGAAGGUUGGGUAACACUAACUGGAGGACCGAACCGACUAAUGUUGAAAAAUUAGCGGAUGACUUGUGGCUGGGGGUGAAAGGCCAAUCAAACCGGGAGAUAGCUGGUUCUCCCCGAAAGCUAUUUAGGUAGCGCCUCGUGAAUUCAUCUUCGGGGGUAGAGCACUGUUUCGACUAGGGGGUCAUCCCGACUUACCAACUCGAUGCAAACUGCGAAUACCGAAGAAUGUUAUCACGGGAGACACACGGCGGGUGCUAACGUCCGUCGUGAAGAGGGAAACAACCCAGACCGCCAGCUAAGGUCCCAAAGUCAUGGUUAAGUGGGAAACGAUGUGGGAAGGCCCAGACAGCCAGGAUGUUGGCUUAGAAGCAGCCAUCAUUUAAAGAAAGCGUAAUAGCUCACUGGUCGAGUCGGCCUGCGCGGAAGAUGUAACGGGGCUAAACCAUGCACCGAAGCUGCGGCAGCGACACUAUGUGUUGUUGGGUAGGGGAGCGUUCUGUAAGCCGUUGAAGGUGGCCUGUGAGGGUUGCUGGAGGUAUCAGAAGUGCGAAUGCUGACAUAAGUAACGAUAAUGCGGGUGAAAAACCCGCACGCCGGAAGACCAAGGGUUCCUGUCCAACGUUAAUCGGGGCAGGGUGAGUCGACCCCUAAGGCGAGGCCGAAAGGCGUAGUCGAUGGGAAACGGGUUAAUAUUCCCGUACUGGUUGUUACUGCGAAGGGGGGACGGAGAAAGCUAGGUUGGCCGGGCGACGGUUGUCCCGGUUUAAGCGUGCAGGUGGGUGUUUUUGGUAAAUCCGGAACACUGUUAACACUGAGGCGUGAUGACGAGUCACUACGGUGAUGAAGUAACCGAUGCUACGCUUCCAGGAAAAGCCUCUAAGCUCUAGGUAACAAUCAAUCGUACCCCAAACCGACACAGGUGGUCAGGUAGAGAAUACUCAGGCGCUUGAGAGAACUCGGGUGAAGGAACUAGGCAAAAUGGUGCCGUAACUUCGGGAGAAGGCACGCUGGAUUUGGUGAAGUCCCUUGCGGAUGGAGCUGAGACCAGUCGCAGAUACCAGCUGGCUGCAACUGUUUAAUAAAAACACAGCACUGUGCAAACACGAAAGUGGACGUAUACGGUGUGACGCCUGCCCGGUGCCGGAAGGUUAAUUGAUGGGGUAAGCUUUCGGGCGAAGCUCUUGAUCGAAGCCCCGGUAAACGGCGGCCGUAACUAUAACGGUCCUAAGGUAGCGAAAUUCCUUGUCGGGUAAGUUCCGACCUGCACGAAUGGCGUAAUGAUGGCCAGGCUGUCUCCACCCGAGACUCAGUGAAAUUGAACUCGCUGUGAAGAUGCAGUGUACCCGCGGCAAGACGGAAAGACCCCGUGAACCUUUACUAUAGCUUGACACUGAACCUUGAGCCUUGAUGUGUAGGAUAGGUGGGAGGCUUUGAAGCGUGGACGCCAGUCUGCGUGGAGCCAACCUUGAAAUACCACCCUUUAAUGUUUGAUGUUCUAACGUGGGCCCCUGAGCGGGGUUGCGGACAGUGUCUGGUGGGUAGUUUGACUGGGGCGGUCUCCUCCCAAAGAGUAACGGAGGAGCACGAAGGUUAGCUAAUCCUGGUCGGACAUCAGGAGGUUAGUGCAAAGGCAUAAGCUAGCUUGACUGCGAGAGUGACGGCUCGAGCAGGUGCGAAAGCAGGUCUUAGUGAUCCGGUGGUUCUGAAUGGAAGGGCCAUCGCUCAACGGAUAAAAGGUACUCCGGGGAUAACAGGCUGAUACCGCCCAAGAGUUCAUAUCGACGGCGGUGUUUGGCACCUCGAUGUCGGCUCAUCACAUCCUGGGGCUGAAGUAGGUCCCAAGGGUAUGGCUGUUCGCCAUUUAAAGUGGUACGCGAGCUGGGUUUAGAACGUCGUGAGACAGUUCGGUCCCUAUCUGCCGUGGGCGUUGGAAGAUUGAGAGGGGUUGCUCCUAGUACGAGAGGACCGGAGUGAACGCACCACUGGUGUACGGGUUGUGAUGCCAAUUGCAUUGCCCGGUAGCUAAGUGCGGAAGAGAUAACCGCUGAAAGCAUCUAAGCGGGAAACUUGCCUCGAGAUGAGUCUUCCCUGGGACUUUGAGUCCCCUGAAGGGCCGUUGAAGACGACGACGUAGAUAGGCCGGGUGUGUAAGCGCAGCGAUGCGUUGAGCUAACCGGUACUAAUGACCCGAGAGGCUUAACCUU
Molecule: ribosomal RNA, 3010 nt
Organism: Brenneria goodwinii
Lineage: Bacteria; Pseudomonadati; Pseudomonadota; Gammaproteobacteria; Enterobacterales; Pectobacteriaceae
Rfam family: Bacterial large subunit ribosomal RNA
Source: Rfam